UACGAAGGGUGCAAGCGUUACUCGGAAUUACUGGGCGUAAAGCGUGCGUAGGUGGUGAGUUAAGUCUGUCGUGAAAGCCCCGGGCUCAACCUGGGAAUGGCGAUGGAUACUGGCUCGCUAGAGUGCGGUAGAGGAGAGUGGAAUUCCCGGUGUAGCAGUGAAAUGCGUAGAUAUCCGGAGGAACACCGGUGGCGAAGGCGGCUUCCUGGACCGACACUGACGCUGAGGCGCGAAAGCUAGGGGAGCAAACGGG
This 253-nucleotide ribosomal RNA is filed under the name uncultured bacterium. Its description in RNAcentral is "partial 16S ribosomal RNA". It matches the Rfam family "Bacterial small subunit ribosomal RNA", at positions 524 to 776 of the family's 1533-position model. The record is from RNAcentral.